UACAGAGGGGGCAAGCGUUGUUCGGAAUUACUGGGCGUAAAGGGUGCGUAGGCGGUCGCGCAAGUCGGAUGUGAAAUCUCAGGGCUCAACCCUGAAACUGCAUUCGAUACUGCGUGGCUAGAGUGCUGGAGAGGAGACUGGAAUUUACGGUGUAGCAGUGAAAUGCGUAGAUAUCGUAAGGAAGACCAGUGGCGAAGGCGAGUCUCUGGACAGCAACUGACGCUGAGGCACGAAGGCCAGGGGAGCAAACGGG
Molecule: ribosomal RNA, 253 nt
Filed under: uncultured bacterium
Lineage: Bacteria
Description: partial 16S ribosomal RNA
Rfam family: Bacterial small subunit ribosomal RNA
Source: RNAcentral